Molecule: ribosomal RNA, 792 nt
Filed under: Scheffersomyces stipitis
Lineage: Eukaryota; Fungi; Ascomycota; Pichiomycetes; Serinales; Debaryomycetaceae
Description: eukaryotic LSU rRNA
Rfam family: Eukaryotic large subunit ribosomal RNA
Source: RNAcentral
GCAAAAGCUCAAAUUUGAAAUCUGGCACCUUCGGUGUCCGAGUUGUAAUUUGAAGAAGGUAACUUUGGAGUCAGCUCUUGUCUAUGUUCCUUGGAACAGGACGUCACAGAGGGUGAGAAUCCCGUGCGAUGAGAUGUCUGAUUCUAUGUAAAGUGCUUUCGAAGAGUCGAGUUGUUUGGGAAUGCAGCUCUAAGUGGGUGGUAAAUUCCAUCUAAAGCUAAAUAUUGGCGAGAGACCGAUAGCGAACAAGUACAGUGAUGGAAAGAUGAAAAGAACUUUGAAAAGAGAGUGAAAAAGUACGUGAAAUUGUUGAAAGGGAAGGGUUUGAGAUCAGACUUGGUAUUUUGUAUGUCUUGCUUUCGGGUGGGGCCUCUACAGUUUACUGGGCCAGCAUCGGUUUGGACGGUAGGAUAAUGACAUUGGAAUGUGGCACCACUUCGGUGGUGUGUUAUAGACUUUGUUGAUACUGCCUGUCUAGACCGAGGACUGCGUCUUUGACUAGGAUGCUGGCAUAAUGAUCUUAAACCGCCCGUCUUGAAACACGGACCAAGGAGUCUAACGUCUAUGCAAGUGUUUGGGUGUAAAACCCGUACGCGUAAUGAAAGUGAACGUAGGUGAGAGCUCUUUUGAGUGCAUCAUCGACCGAUCCUGAUGUCUUCGGAUGGAUUUGAGUAAGAGCAUAGCUGUUGGGACCCGAAAGAUGGUGAACUAUGCCUGAAUAGGGUGAAGCCAGAGGAAACUCUGGUGGAGGCUCGUAGCGGUUCUGACGUGCAAAUCGAUCGUCGAAUUUGG